CCUACGGGAGGCAGCAGUGAGGAAUAUUGGUCAAUGGGCGCGAGCCUGAACCAGCCAAGUAGCGUGAAGGAUGACUGCCCUACGGGUUGUAAACUUCUUUUAUAAAGGAAUAAAGUGAGGCACGUGUGCCUUUUUGUAUGUACUUUAUGAAUAAGGAUCGGCUAACUCCGUGCCAGCAGCCGCGGUAAUACGGAGGAUCCGAGCGUUAUCCGGAUUUAUUGGGUUUAAAGGGUGCGUAGGUGGGUUGUUAAGUCAGUUGUGAAAGUUUGCGGCUCAACCGUAAAAUUGCAGUUGAUACUGGCUGUCUUGAGUACAGUUGAGGUAGGCGGAAUUCGUGGUGUAGCGGUGAAAUGCUUAGAUAUCACGAAGAACUCCGAUUGCGAAGGCAGCUUACUAAACUGCCACUGACAUUGAUGCUCGAAAGUGUGGGUAUCAAACAGGAUUAGAUACCCGAGUAGUC
Molecule: ribosomal RNA, 460 nt
Filed under: uncultured bacterium
Lineage: Bacteria
Description: partial 16S ribosomal RNA
Rfam family: Bacterial small subunit ribosomal RNA
Source: RNAcentral